GUCUAUGGCCGUACCACCCUGAACGCGCCCGAUCUCGUCUGAUCUCGGAGGCUAAGCAGGGGCGCACUUGGGUAGUACUUGGAUGGGAGAAUUUUGUACAUACUAGGUAGAAGAUGUCU
This is a non-coding RNA of Fukomys damarensis (Damara mole-rat), 119 nucleotides long. The record is from Rfam. NCBI's taxonomy places the organism in Eukaryota, Metazoa, Chordata, Mammalia, Rodentia, Bathyergidae.